Molecule: ribosomal RNA, 728 nt
Filed under: Streptomyces sp. YIM231
Lineage: Bacteria; Bacillati; Actinomycetota; Actinomycetes; Kitasatosporales; Streptomycetaceae
Description: bacterial SSU rRNA
Rfam family: Bacterial small subunit ribosomal RNA
Source: RNAcentral
GCAGUCGAACGAUGAAGCCUUUCGGGGUGGAUUAGUGGCGAACGGGUGAGUAACACGUGGGCAAUCUGCCCUUCACUCUGGGACAAGCCCUGGAAACGGGGUCUAAUACCGGAUAACACUCUGUCCCGCAUGGGACGGGGUUAAAAGCUCCGGCGGUGAAGGAUGAGCCCGCGGCCUAUCAGCUUGUUGGUGGGGUAAUGGCCUACCAAGGCGACGACGGGUAGCCGGCCUGAGAGGGCGACCGGCCACACUGGGACUGAGACACGGCCCAGACUCCUACGGGAGGCAGCAGUGGGGAAUAUUGCACAAUGGGCGAAAGCCUGAUGCAGCGACGCCGCGUGAGGGAUGACGGCCUUCGGGUUGUAAACCUCUUUCAGCAGGGAAGAAGCGAAAGUGACGGUACCUGCAGAAGAAGCGCCGGCUAACUACGUGCCAGCAGCCGCGGUAAUACGUAGGGCGCAAGCGUUGUCCGGAAUUAUUGGGCGUAAAGAGCUCGUAGGCGGCUUGUCACGUCGGAUGUGAAAGCCCGGGGCUUAACCCCGGGUCUGCAUUCGAUACGGGCUAGCUAGAGUGUGGUAGGGGAGAUCGGAAUUCCUGGUGUAGCGGUGAAAUGCGCAGAUAUCAGGAGGAACACCGGUGGCGAAGGCGGAUCUCUGGGCCAUUACUGACGCUGAGGAGCGAAAGCGUGGGGAGCGAACAGGAUUAGAUACCCUGGUAGUCCACGCCGU